Molecule: ribosomal RNA, 329 nt
Filed under: uncultured eukaryote
Lineage: Eukaryota
Description: partial 18S ribosomal RNA
Rfam family: Eukaryotic small subunit ribosomal RNA
Source: RNAcentral
CCCUUAGAUGUUCUGGGCCGCACGCGCGCUACACUGAUGCAUUCAACGAGUCUAAAACCUGCUCUGAUAGGGGUGGGUAAUCUUUUGAAUGUGCAUCGUGAUUGGGAUAGAUGAUUGCAAUUUUUCAUCUUCAACGAGGAAUGCCUAGUAAACGCAAGUCAUCAGCUUGCAUUGAUUACGUCCAUGCCCUUUGUACACACCGCCCGUCGCUCCUACCGAUUGAAUGAUCCGAUGAAUAUCAUGGAUUGAGGAUGCAAGCAGGUUCGCCUGUCUUCAUCUUCGAGAAGUGAAGUAAAUCUUAUCAUUUAGAGGAAGGAGAAGUCGUAACA